UCCGAGUUGACCCCGGCAGUCUUCGAUGAGUCCCCGCCAUAACGCGCUGGCAACAUCGAACGAGGGUUGCGCUCGUUGCGGGACUUAACCCAACAUCUCACGACACGAGCUGACGACAACCAUGCACCACCUGUGCACGGCCCUUACGGACCCCGCAUCUCUGCGAGAUUUCCGUGCAUUUCAAGCCCUGGUAAGGUUCUUCGCGUUGCAUCGAAUUAAGCCACAUGCUCCGCCGCUUGUGCGGGCCCCCGUCAAUUCCUUUGAGUUUUAGCCUUGCGGCCGUACUCCCCAGGCGGGACGCUUAAUGCGUUAGCUGCGGCACGGAACUCGUGGAAUGAGUCCCACACCUAGCGCCCAACGUUUACGGCGUGGACUAC
RNAcentral lists this unclassified non-coding RNA (377 nucleotides) under uncultured Actinomycetes bacterium. RNAcentral describes it as "uncultured actinobacterium contains 16S-23S intergenic spacer region". Lineage: Bacteria; Bacillati; Actinomycetota; Actinomycetes. The record is from RNAcentral.